This 478-nucleotide long non-coding RNA is filed under the name Homo sapiens (human). RNAcentral describes it as "long independently transcribed non-coding RNA 1480 (LINC01480)". The record is from RNAcentral. Lineage: Eukaryota; Metazoa; Chordata; Mammalia; Primates; Hominidae.
AUGUUAGUGGAAUUAACAUAUGCCCCACCCCAAGUGACUUCUAAAGGGCUAACUCACCACAAGGGAGUCAGAGCAGAUCUUGGACUGAGACCUACAGGACACAGCGACUCUUAAAUAGGUGGCUCACCAGGAGAAAGGCAUAGCAGAACCUGGACUGAGACCUACGGGAGACAGGCAGACACACAGGAGGUUGGACGUCGAGAGGAGCACAUCAGUGCAAGAACACAUGGGUGGCUGCCACUUCUCUCCCUUUCCUGAGAGGGAAAAACUCUCGACGCUGAGAGGAAUCCACCAACAGGCACCAGCACUCUGGCAGGCCACCGACCAAUGGAUUGACAUAGAGUUUGGCUGGGGCAGCCAGAGGAGAGCCUGGGCCGCUGAAUAACCCGACUUCAGGGGAAAACUAUUCUCCCUUUUGGCUCCCCCAUCUGCUGAGAGCUACUUCCACUCAAUAAAACCUUGCACUCAUUCUCCAAGA